This 254-nucleotide ribosomal RNA is filed under the name uncultured bacterium. Its description in RNAcentral is "partial 16S ribosomal RNA". It matches the Rfam family "Bacterial small subunit ribosomal RNA", at positions 524 to 776 of the family's 1533-position model. The record is from RNAcentral.
UACGAAGGGGGCUAGCGUUGCUCGGAAUCACUGGGCGUAAAGCGCACGUAGGCGGAUAUUUAAGUCGGUGGUGAAAUCCUGGAGCUCAACUCCAGAACUGCCUCCGAUACUGAAUGUCUUCGAGUCCGGGAGAGGUGAGUGGAACUGCGAGUGUAGAGGUGAAAUUCGUAGAUAUUCGCAAGAACACCAGUGGCGAAGGCGGCUCACUGGCCCGAUACUGACGCUGAGGCACGAAAGCGUGGGGAGCAAACAGG